AGCUGUUUUGAGUUCUGUUUUUGGAUUGCUGCUGCUGCUGCUAAGUCACUUCAGUCAUGUCCGACUCUGUGCAACCCCAUAGACGUCAGCCCACCAGGCUCCCCCAUCCUUGGGAUUCUCCAGAGUGAAGACGGUGUGCAGAGUGAAGGUACAGGCAGAAACGCUUCACAGUUCGUGUAUUCCAAGAACAGAGAUGCUCCGCCAGCUCACUCUUCAACCUUGUUCCCAGCAGUCGCUUCAGUCGUGUCCGACUCUGUGAGACCCCUUAGACGGCAGCCCACCAGGCCCCGGCGUCCCUGGGAUUCUCCAGGCAAGAACACGAGUGGGUUGCCACUUCCUCCUCCAAUGCAUGAAAGUAAAAAGUGAAAGUGAAGUCGCUCAUUCGUGUCCGACUCUUAGCGACCCCAUGGACUGCAGCCUACCAGGCUCCUCUGUCCAUGGGAUUUUCCAGGCAAGAGUACUGGAGUGGGGUGCCAUUGCCUUCUCCCAACAUGAAGAAUAAUUAAGGUAAUUGGGAGAUAAAAGGAACUGCCUAAUUUGGAAAUAAAGAUUUAACUGUGGAGUUUAGGUCUCUUCAGAGUCACUCAUUGACUUGUGAAAA
This is a long non-coding RNA of Bos taurus (domestic cattle), 601 nucleotides long. Lineage: Eukaryota; Metazoa; Chordata; Mammalia; Artiodactyla; Bovidae. The record is from Ensembl.